Non-coding RNA from Crenichthys baileyi (White River springfish), 103 nucleotides. The record is from the annotation of a GenBank genome assembly. Lineage: Eukaryota; Metazoa; Chordata; Actinopteri; Cyprinodontiformes; Goodeidae.
GGUCACUCGUUUACCUAUAGCAUACAUCAGCAUGGACGAGGUGAUGGACUGCUAUUCCAUUGUGCUCUGCACGCAUGGGUUCGAAUCCCACCCUCAUGGUCCA